Molecule: ribosomal RNA, 497 nt
Filed under: uncultured bacterium
Lineage: Bacteria
Description: partial 16S ribosomal RNA
Rfam family: Bacterial small subunit ribosomal RNA
Source: RNAcentral
GACGAACGCUGGCGGCGUGCCUAAUACAUGCAAGUUGAGCGAUGAAGAUUGGUGCUUGCACCAAUUUGAAGAGCAGCGAACGGGUGAGUAACGCGUGGGGAACCUGCCUUUGAGCGGGGGACAACAUUUGGAAACGAAUGCUAAUACCGCAUAACAACUUUAAACAUAAGUUUUAAGUUUGAAAGAUGCAAUUGCAUCACUCCAAGAUGAUCCCGCGUUGUAUUAGCUAGUAGGUGAGGUAAAGGCUCACCAAGGCGAUGAUACAUAGCCGACCUGAGAGGGUGAUCGGCCACAUUGGGACUGAGACACGGCCCAGACUCCUACGGGAGGCAGCAGUAGGGAAUCUUCGGCAAUGGACGAAAGUCUGACCGAGCAACGCCGCGUGAGUGAAGAAGGUUUUCGGAUCGUAAAACUCUGUUGGUAGAGAAGAACGUUGGUGAGAGUGGAAAGCUCAUCAAGUGACGGUAACUACCCAGAAAGGGACGGCUAACUACGUG